Molecule: long non-coding RNA, 1311 nt
Organism: Ochlerotatus camptorhynchus
Lineage: Eukaryota; Metazoa; Arthropoda; Insecta; Diptera; Culicidae
Exons: 5
Source: RefSeq, a predicted model, not a curated record
CGUUUACGCGGCCUGUUGUAGAACCGAGGAGGCCUGGUCAAUUCCACCAUUCAUUUGUGCUUCAAAAAUUCGUCACAGCUCUGAAUUCUCAAAAUUUGAAACUGAUCCAGACUUGGACAUUCAAGCCACCAGAACAAUUUUGACAGUCGAACCAGAGCACCACUCGUUUUAUGCAGCAUCGUGACUAACGAAGGGAACGGAUCAAUCAUCGGACCCAAGCUUGGACCCUGAAAUUAUUGAAGAGGAAAGAGUCCGACAGGCCAGUCUCUUUUGUGGUUCGACACUUGGGACGGAAGCAGAAGAGCCGCAGCGAGAUCCAACAAGAGAGAACAAACUGUAAUUAUCAAGCCUAAGGGAAAUCAACGUGCUGAUGUGACAAAUCAAGAAUAUUCUCUCGAAGAUAUAUUCUGCUGCUUUUUCGGUCAAAAAUGUUCGAUGCAUGGAGAACGGUAACGUUUCCGUACGGAAACAAGUGAUCAUGGAUAAAAAUCAUUGGUCUGUCCGAAGAUUUAAGUGCUGGUGAAAUUGACCUCAAAUUGAAAAAGCAAAACAAUCUUCCGCUCUCCUCGGACAUUUGAAACUUUGAUCCUUUGAUCAAGCUGCAACGCGUCUACCUGUAGAGUGGCUGAAGAAAUCAAUGUCUACCGCUACUUCAAAUGUUCCAUGUCUGGCCAUACAGCAUGUUCCUGAAACAACUCUACUUGCUGUCUCAUAUGUGCUGGUGAUCAUGAAGCAAAAGAAUGUGAAUCUACUUUCAUAAAGUGUGUUAACUGUGAACUGGUGAACAAACUGCGUAACCUUGCAACUGAUAUAUUCCUGGAUCGAACUACAUCGACUCUGGCACGCAACGAUGUUGGUACUAUGAAAGCCACCGAUCCUCCCACCACAGUCCUGCCACUGUAGCCGUCGUUCAACAAUCUUCCCGACCCUGUGUGUGGGAUUGGAUAAGUGGUCUUCCAACCUGAAACUGCAGUUCCAGCGCUACGCCGAUUGAUCAACUAUAUUCUGUCAGCUUGACACUGGAACACAAUGAUGUUGGCACCAUGGAAGCCCCUAAUCUCUCUGCCACAGUCGGGCUAUUCUACUUCCUGCUUUGUCAGAUGCUGAGAUGCCUGACCUGUUAUAUGGAAGGAUUAUGCACGAGGAGCGAUUCGAAUCCCCCCAGUUUUGAAGACAUUAAGAACUGAUGUUCCAUUGCCCUGGUCAGAUGGCUGGUGGUGAAGGAAAACAAUAAGUACAUGGAAACCAGAAAAAACUAUCUAUUUUAAUACUCUCGCCCGCACGUCCCAUUGCACUACAAAUAAAAUUCGC